Molecule: ribosomal RNA, 623 nt
Filed under: uncultured marine bacterium
Lineage: Bacteria
Description: bacterial SSU rRNA
Rfam family: Bacterial small subunit ribosomal RNA
Source: RNAcentral
AGCGAAAGGGAUUAGAUACCCCUGUAGUCCUGGCCGUAAACGAUGAACACUAGGUGUCGGGGGAAUCGACCCCUUCGGUGUCGUAGCUAACGCGUUAAGUGUUCCGCCUGGGGAGUACGCACGCAAGUGUGAAACUCAAAGGAAUUGACGGGGGCCCGCACAAGCGGUGGAGUAUGUGGUUUAAUUCGAUGCAACGCGAAGAACCUUACCAGGGUUUGACAUCCUGCGAACCUCUUAGAAAUUUGAGGGUGCCUUCGGGAAUGCAGUGACAGGUGGUGCAUGGCUGUCGUCAGCUCGUGUCGUGAGAUGUUGGGUUAAGUCCCGCAACGAGCGCAACCCACGUUUUUAGUUGCCAGCAUUUAGUUGGGCACUCUAGAAAGACCGCCGGUGAUAAACCGGAGGAAGGUGUGGAUGACGUCAAGUCAUCAUGCCCCUUACACCCUGGGCUACACACGUACUACAAUGCUACGGACAAAGGGCAGCAAACUCGCGAGAGCUAGCAAAUCCCAUAAACCGUGGCUCAGUUCAGAUCGUAGGCUGCAACUCGCCUACGUGAAGUAGGAAUCGCUAGUAACCGCAGGUCAGCAUACUGCGGUGAAUACGUUCCCGGGCCUUGUACACAC